GAUGAAGAACGUAGCGAAAUGCGAUAAGUAAUGUGAAUUGCAGAAUUCAGUGAAUCAUCGAAUCUUUGAACGCACAUUGCGCCCGCCAGCAUUCUGGCGGGCAUGCCUGUUCGAGCGUCAUUUCAACCCUCGAGCUCCCCCGGGGGCCUCGGUGUUGGGGGACGGCACACCAGCCGCCCCCGAAAUGCAGUGGCGACCCCGCCGCAGCCUCCCCUGCGUAGUAGCACACACCUCGCACCGGAGCGCGGAGGCGGUCACGCCGUAAAACGCCCAACUUUCUUAGAGUUGACCUCGGAUCAGGUAGGAAUACCCGCUGAACUUAAGCAUAUCAAUAAGCGGAGGA
Molecule: unclassified non-coding RNA, 343 nt
Filed under: soil metagenome
Description: partial contains 5.8S ribosomal RNA, internal transcribed spacer 2, and large subunit ribosomal RNA
Rfam family: 5.8S ribosomal RNA (bases 1-120)
Source: RNAcentral